GAUCUGCGGGCGCUCACCACGAUAACAGCUCUAUUAUUAUCCAUCGUUCAAUCAGUUUUCUCAAAUUACUGCUACUCGUGUAUGAGUAUAAGAACGCACAGCAACUCUACAGCCUAUAAAGUACCAAACAAUAUUGAUGAUAGCUGUGAAGAUGAAACUAAUUUAACAGACGUCAUUGAAUGCAACGGAGGGUGUAUGGUUAUGAAUGCAACCUUUAUGUACUCCUAUGACUUGUAUGGUGAUGUGAUGACACAAUUCUUCGUUCGAUCCUGCGGUUACGAUCUCGACCGAUGUCUCGACGAUCAGGAGAUCGACCCGUUACUCAGAGAAUACGAAAAGGACAUCAGCGCCGGCGUCGAAAAUGGGACAUUUGUCGGCUUCACAGGCUAUGUCUGUUUCUGCAAAGGAACAAACUGCAAUAACGGGAAUUCACUUAGCCAAAACCCAGUCCCUCUCGUUGCGUUUAGUGUUUUAGUUUUAAUUUGUCAAUUUCUUGUAUUUCUAACUUGAAUGGUGAUAUUGACGUCAAUGGGUGCUCAAACAUUGUAUUGAACGCUGAUUAAUGUCGAGUCUUAGGCGCGUAUUCUUAAGUCAGGUUUAAUUGAAAGUCUGGUCUAAAUUAGUGGGUCAACUAUGGAAAGCCAAUUGUAAUAGAGGUUUCUAGGAAGUGAAGUUGACAAU
Molecule: long non-coding RNA, 681 nt
Organism: Lytechinus variegatus (green sea urchin)
Lineage: Eukaryota; Metazoa; Echinodermata; Echinoidea; Temnopleuroida; Toxopneustidae
Exons: 3
Source: RefSeq, a predicted model, not a curated record